AGGUGCUGCAUGGCUGUCGUCAGCUCGUGUCGUGAGAUGUUGGGUUAAGUCCCGUAACGAGCGCAACCCUUAUCCUUAGUUGCUAGCAGGUAAUGCUGAGAACUCUAGGGAGACUGUCAGUGAUAAACUGGAGGAAGGUGGGGACGACGUCAAGUCAUCAUGGCCCUUAUGGGUAGGGCUACACACGUGCUACAAUGGUCGGUACAGAGGGCCGCAAACUCGCGAGAGUAAGCAAAUCCCAGAAAGCCGAUCUUAGUCCGGAUUGCAGUCUGCAACUCGACUGCAUGAAGUUGGAAUCGCUAGUAAUCGCGGAUCAGAAUGCCGCGGUGAAUACGUUCCCGGGCCUUGUACACACCGCCCGUCACACCAUGGGAGUGGGUUGCAAAAGAAGUAGGUAGUCUAACCUUCGGGAGGGCGCUUACCACUUUGUGAUUCAUGACUGGGGUGAAGUUCAAGCAACAUC
RNAcentral lists this ribosomal RNA (463 nucleotides) under uncultured bacterium. Its description in RNAcentral is "bacterial SSU rRNA". It matches the Rfam family "Bacterial small subunit ribosomal RNA", at positions 1036 to 1498 of the family's 1533-position model. The record is from RNAcentral.